GAUGAACGCUGGCGGCGUGCCUAAUACAUGCAAGUCGAGCGAACAGAUGAGGAGCUUGCUCCUCUGACGUUAGCGGCGGACGGGUGAGUAACACGUGGAUAACCUACCUAUAAGACUGGGAUAACUUCGGGAAACCGGAGCUAAUACCGGAUAAUAUAUUGAACCGCAUGGUUCAAUAGUGAAAGACGGUUUUGCUGUCACUUAUAGAUGAAUCCGCGCCGCAUUAGCUAGUUGGUAAGGUAACGGCUUACCAAGGCAACGAUGCGUAGCCGACCUGAGAGGGUGAUCGGCCACACUGGAACUGGGACACGGUCCAGACUCCUACGGGAGGCAGCAGUAGGGAAUCUUCCGCAAUGGGCGAAAGCCUGACGGAGCAACGCCGCGUGAGUGAUGAAGGUCUUCGGAUCGUAAAACUCUGUUAUUAGGGAAGAACAAAUGUGUAAGUAACUAUGCACGUCUUGACGGUACCUAAUCAGAAAGCCACGGCUAACUACGUG
This 497-nucleotide ribosomal RNA is filed under the name uncultured bacterium. Its description in RNAcentral is "partial 16S ribosomal RNA". It matches the Rfam family "Bacterial small subunit ribosomal RNA", at positions 28 to 507 of the family's 1533-position model. The record is from RNAcentral.